Pygocentrus nattereri (red-bellied piranha) is the source of this 1602-nucleotide long non-coding RNA. RefSeq lists it as uncharacterized. The transcript is spliced from 2 exons. The record is from RefSeq and is a predicted model, not a curated record. NCBI's taxonomy places the organism in Eukaryota, Metazoa, Chordata, Actinopteri, Characiformes, Serrasalmidae.
GUGAAGCUGCUGGCAGUUUGCUGUACUGCCUGUGAUGAUGAUUCAGCAGUGAGCAGCAAGCAAUCACUUAUGGCAGGCUAAAUUAACCCCAAUGAGCACAGCAGCUAAUGCGGUCCACUGGGGUGAAAUGGCUGUAGAGGUUUAAACUGUGCCUUGGCCCUGGACCAAAAGGACUACCAGAGAGAAUGUGAUGUGAUGUGUGUGUCUUAUGCUGAUGGGUGCUUGAUGAUUCCUUUGCAGUUUCAGAAGCUUCUCUGCACUGGAGUUUUUUUUACUCAGGCUGAUGUUCCCAGAGUCAGAACCUUAUUGAAGACACAUGUAUGGCUUUCUGCUACUCUGUCCACCUCUGAAUAACCUUAUUUUAUAAAGAAUUCUCAAUGUUAAAGCUUACUGCAUAGUUCAGUCACAGAUGUAAAGGCAUUGAGUGGUUUGAUGUGAAAUGAUUCAUUAUAUAACAUAGGUGCUCCUUCCUGGUCCUGGAGAGUUCAGCUUCAACACACCUGGCCCUUGUAUUCAGAUGCUGCUGAAGGCCUUCAUUAACCAGAUCAGGUGUGUUUGGUUAGAGGUGGAACUAAGUGGUGUAUGGUGGUAGGUCUCCAGUACCAGGAUUAGGCAGCUCUGUUAUAGAGGUACUUACUGACCCUUUAUAGUGGUGAGAGGAAUUGAGGGCUGAGACAUCUACAGUGCAGAAGUAGUGAUUUUAUUUGCUAUGGUAAACCACUAGUGAACCUGCAAGGCCUGAGCUUUUAUGUAAUGAUGAAGGUAUGGUAAAUUUUUUGGACUAUCUAGCCUUGCAGUGCCUUGUAUGUAUUUCUCUGCCUUGAGUAGACUACAUUUUAGGCAGAGUCCUUCUGGAAACUGUUGUAAUGCAGUGUUAUCAGGCAAUUUUGAAUUUGAUGUAAUACCGAUACCAAUUUAUACCACCACUGCUGCGAAUGACUUGAAUAUCUCAAGUGGUGUUUCACAUCAAGAUGUACUGAAUGAUUAACAGUAAUUAUGCAGGAAUGUGGAGAAAUCAGAAUUUCUAAUGUUCGUUAUUGGAUCGGAUCAGAUUCACACCAGCAAUCGCUGCAUUCAAAACAAGAUGUAGGUGAGUUCAGUGGUCCUGUUUGGGAUCAAUGCGAGACUUGAACCAUUUUCUCCCAUUCCUGAAAAUGUGGCUCCUGAGAAAUAAAAACCCUCAGGUUUUCUCACUUUGAUCACACACAUCGAUGAACUCGCCUCACCCCAGUCCCCAGUAUUUCCAUAAUGAAAGCGAGUUCAGGUUUAUGUAGCCCCGUCACAGAACCUUCAGCAGAGGGUCGGUGUAAGAACCCAAUUUUCUUAGGUCACCAGAAUGUCUCACAAUGAGAUGUUUCUUCCCCUGUUGAGUCUUGUAAGAGCCAAGAAACCAGUGAUGCUUCAUUAGUACAAUAUUGAGAUCUGCUUUAUUACUGAGUUUUAAAACCUCUUCUGGGGUGUUUGAGGUGUGAACUUCAACCUACUUGGACCUGCAUCUUGAGCUACAGUGAUGAGUGCCUUGUGAAGACCAGACCAGGCCUGUGAGAAGCAGCUCAGCUGCCUUGUGUGCACUUUUCCAAAUAAAGGCUUUUCUGUGUUGUC